Long non-coding RNA from Catharus ustulatus (Swainson's thrush), 943 nucleotides. RefSeq lists it as uncharacterized. The record is from RefSeq and is a predicted model, not a curated record. The transcript has 3 exons. Lineage: Eukaryota; Metazoa; Chordata; Aves; Passeriformes; Turdidae.
GAGCCUUUGAGCCAGAUCCCAGGGGAAUCAAGGGGAGCUUUGGUUCUUUGAUGGCAUCUGAGGAGCUUGGUUAAUUAAAAGGGCUUAACUUGACUUGUGUGGGCUCCAAACCUGCAGCAAUAAGGAGAUACUUUAGCCUAAAAGCACACAACACAGCCUCAAGUGAAUAGAAGAAUUCACAGCUCAGCAAACAACAUGUGAAUUAGAAAAGGUUCCCAUCCUGGCAGGUCCUUGCACAAGCUGGAAACAGAGACACUGGGAAGCUCAGGAGACUGAAGAGUGGGAAAAUGCUUCAGGCACAAACAACACAGUCUGUGGCGAGGGAAUGGGAGUGCAAAGAUCGCGGUGCUCGCCAGGAACUCGCUGAACGCUCAGAGAAGCACCGAGAGCCUGGGCACGGCCACGGGGGAAGGAGUGGCCGGGUCCCCUGGAACUCUGCCUUGCAGCAGCACCUCGCACAGGCAUUUCUCUCAGCAGAGGAGAGUGUCAGCAGGGAGGAGCAGCACAGCCCAGAGAAGGCAAAACGCCCGCCCGAGGUGAUCCAGCAGGACACGGAUUAGGCCGUGUGUGUUCCUGAUCAGCUGAAAACAAAUCCUCUUGUGCUGGAUCUCAGCCUCCCUCAUCCUUGUCCCCAUAUCCCUUGAAGGGUGACAGAUUCCCUGCCCAGGAGCAGCCCUUUAGAAAGUGGCUCUCGCAGGGACCUCUUGUUCUCCCUCCUGUCACAGCCCUGCGCGUGUUAAACCACCCGUGCGAGAUGCCAGACCUGCUCUACCUGCAGAGAUGUGCUCGUGUCUCCCAGAGGGAGCGGCUCAAGGUACCCCCACGGCACCUCAGAGCUGAGCUGCAGCUCGGGGCUAAGCCCUCGUGAGUGUCCUGUGUCUUCUGCUGACCCCGGCAUGGACAAUACAUGACAUUGAGCACUUAGUCCUGGGUUAAAUAAAGC